AGUCGAACGGCAGCGGGGGCUUCGGCCUGCCGGCGAGUGGCGAACGGGUGAGUAAUGCAUCGGAACGUACCCAGUCGUGGGGGAUAACUACGCGAAAGCGUAGCUAAUACCGCAUACGCCCUGAGGGGGAAAGCGGGGGACCUUCGGGCCUCGCGCGAUUGGAGCGGCUGAUGUCGGAUUAGCUAGUUGGUGGGGUAAUGGCUCACCAAGGCGACGAUCCGUAACUGGUCUGAGAGGAUGAUCAGUCACACUGGAACUGAGACACGGUCCAGACUCCUACGGGAGGCAGCAGUGGGGAAUAUUGGACAAUGGGCGAAAGCCUGAUCCAGCCAUGCCGCGUGUGUGAAGAAGGUCUUCGGAUUGUAAAGCACUUUAAGUUGGGAGGAAGGGCAGUUACCUAAUACGUGAUUGUUUUGACGUUACCGACAGAAUAAGCACCGGCUAACUCUGUGCCAGCAGCCGCGGUAAU
This 469-nucleotide ribosomal RNA is filed under the name uncultured bacterium. RNAcentral's name for it is "bacterial SSU rRNA". It matches the Rfam family "Bacterial small subunit ribosomal RNA", at positions 60 to 524 of the family's 1533-position model. The record is from RNAcentral.